RNAcentral lists this long non-coding RNA (951 nucleotides) under Nicotiana benthamiana. RNAcentral's name for it is "long non-coding RNA (NBEN_LNC026924)". Lineage: Eukaryota; Viridiplantae; Streptophyta; Magnoliopsida; Solanales; Solanaceae. The record is from RNAcentral.
UUGAUGUGUGACUCUUCCUCUUUGCUCUUUCUUUCUUUCUAAUUCUAACUACUGCUCUUUCUUCACUGAUAUUUAUUUCCUUCAAGUUAGGGUUUUUAACCCCUUUUUCUCUUUCUCUUUAUUUUUCUUCUUCCCAAUUAUGAACAACUUUACUAUGUAAGCGUUACAUGUAAUCUUUUAACUCUUUAAUGGGUAUAUCUUCUUUUUUUUCUUUUUAUGUAUUUUGUUGAGCAGUUGAAUUUAUGUUUCUUUUUUUUUUUCGAAAGGAUGGCGGGAGUCUGUCUGGAAACAGCCUCUCUACCUCAGGGUAGAGUUAAGUUCUGCUUACAUACUAUCCUCCCCAGACCCCUCUAUGUGAGAUUAUACUGGGUUGUUGUUGUACUUAAUUCAGUUGGCGUUGAAUGGAAAAUCUUGAGCUGUAGGUUUUGAUGAGUGUUUCAGCUUGUUUAUGACUUGGUUUGAGCUUGAAUUUGGGUUAUUUAUUGGUUUUGACUUGCUUUGAUUUUUGGGGUUUCACUUAUCUGAGCUGGGUGUAAUUUGUUUCUUAGAAUCUUGAUUAACUGACUGUUUAAUUCUUACUGAAGUUCAUUACCUGUUCAUGUAAUUGAUCUACAAGAUUUCAUUUUUAAAGUGCUAAUUUCUGAUUUUACUAUUUCUUUGUUGUAAAGAUUGGUUCUUUCUAUGCUGAAAGACUUGAUUUUGAUGUUAGAACUCUUUUUUCUGCUUUAGUUUAGAUUAAGUCAAGGCAUUGUUUAGUGGUACAACCUGUUAGCUGUAAAACCUUCGGACCUCCAUUCAUUUUCGUCUAUUUUGUAUGUCGUUGAGUCGAUACAGUUAACACUGUUUAGCUGGAAAGAGAACUAGUUAGAGUUAAGCACGCCAUUAAGAUACAAUCAUCAAGCUGGGAUUUUAAUCUUCUUAAUUUUUCCUGUUUGAAUUUGGGUUUGAGGG